This is a non-coding RNA of Aedes albopictus (Asian tiger mosquito), 68 nucleotides long. NCBI's taxonomy places the organism in Eukaryota, Metazoa, Arthropoda, Insecta, Diptera, Culicidae. The record is from Rfam.
UGCCAAGCAACUUCUAUCCCUACCUCGGCGUGGUACCGGCUGGAAACUACGAGCAACCUUAGGGAAGA